GCAAAAGUAAAGAGAUAGUACCCGAGGAUCAAGAAUCGGAGUACUCGAAAUUCGACUCACGAAAUAGUGAGUAACCUUACUAUCGUCUUAAUUAUCUAAAGUAGUUUUUAUUCAUUGUGAUUUUAUAGAAAAAUAUGUUUAAAUGGUAAAUCUUUAGGUUUUAUAAACAAAAUGUGUUUAAAUGAAAUGAUUUUAUAAAUUGUCUUGAAAUUUAAUGAUGGUUUUGAAAAUGGAGUAAUUGGAGACUAAUUGCUGUGUUAUAAAUCAUGGUUUGAAUGGAAUGGCUUAUGAUAAUAUUGGCAUGAAUGGUUGAAUUGGUAUUUGUGUUGAAAAUGCAUAAACUGUUGUUUGCCUUGAUAGGCUAGAUAAUAAUAAAAUUGCCAUGUCAUGCUAUUGAAUUUUACUGAAUUGGUGGGUUAUUGAUUAGUCGCUGCAGUGGACGGGUUUCGUAGACCAGCCUAUUAGAGGGGGCACGGUAACCCUAUUAUAUUCAUACCUCAGUAUAAGAGGCGCGGUUGGAUAACUCUUGAGGUUAACACUUUAGAGUUCACUUCACGCCAAACCACCACGUGAGGGUGAACUCAGCUAAUGCCAAGGAAUGACUAUGUUUUCAAAAUAAAAACAUGACUUAUGCGUACAUAACUUUUUAUCAGCCUUGGCGGACUCAGUUGGGAUAGCCCUCGACCAAG
This 689-nucleotide long non-coding RNA is filed under the name Theobroma cacao (cacao). RNAcentral describes it as "long non-coding RNA (TCAC_LNC001896)". The record is from RNAcentral. Lineage: Eukaryota; Viridiplantae; Streptophyta; Magnoliopsida; Malvales; Malvaceae.